Long non-coding RNA from Pipra filicauda (Wire-tailed manakin), 842 nucleotides. RefSeq lists it as uncharacterized. The transcript has 5 exons. NCBI's taxonomy places the organism in Eukaryota, Metazoa, Chordata, Aves, Passeriformes, Pipridae. The record is from RefSeq and is a predicted model, not a curated record.
CUGUUUCAUUUCUUUGUAGGAAAAGAAUAAUAUUAAGUGGGCUUCCAGGUGGGACUACAUUUUGGAGUCCAUGCCUCAUACAAACAUCCAGUGGUUUAGUAUAAUGAAUUCCCUCGUAAUUGUUCUCUUCUUAUCUGGCAUGGUGGCUAUGAUCUUUCUGAGGACUCUUCAUAAAGAUAUUGCAAGAUACAGCCAGAUUGACUCUUCAGAAGAUGCCCAAGAGGAAUUUGGCUGGAAGCUGGUUCAUGGAGAUGUGUUUAGACCUCCAAGGAAGGGAAUGUUACUCUCUGUCUUUUUGGGCCAAGGAACGCAAAUUUUCAUUAUGACAUUUAUUACUUUAUUCCUGGCUUGCCUUGAUUUUCUUUCCCCUGCCAACCGUGGUGCUUUGAUGACCUGUGCUGUUGUAUUGUGGGUCUUGCUGGGAACUCCAGCUGGUUACGUGUCUGCUAGAAUGUACAAGACAUUCAGAGGUGAGAAGUGGAAGACAAACGUCUUGCUUACAGCUCUACUUUGCCCUGGGUUAGUAUUGUUUCCCCUUGUGGGAAGGAGUUGGGGAAAAAAAAGUGAAUUGUUAUGAAGCUUGUUUGUGUGAUUUUGUUUAUGGUUCUCCAAACUGCUGUUCCCUUUCUGUACUGCCUAUGUGUGAAUACGAAGAAAAGAAAAUUCUGAGGAGUUGGAGCCUGGUACUCUAGAACACAGGUUCUUAGCAUCUUGUUUUGUAGUCAGCUGUGGGGGUAGGAGGAAUGAUGCAAGGUAGUGUCACAGCCUUUGAGAGUCACUGCACCAGAACAUUAGACACAGUGAUGGGGUAGUUCCAGUCUGGUACCAUAGCACUUGGUAUG